RNAcentral lists this ribosomal RNA (167 nucleotides) under Petrolisthes asiaticus. RNAcentral describes it as "partial 16S rRNA". Lineage: Eukaryota; Metazoa; Arthropoda; Malacostraca; Decapoda; Porcellanidae. The record is from RNAcentral.
UCUUUAUGAAAAUUAGUCUUUUAAAUUUAUAUAUAAAGUUAAGAGAGGUUUAAAAAAUUGGUUCAUUUUACUGGGGCGGUAGAGAUAUAAAAAAUAAACUGUCAUUAUGAUUAAACAGAGUUAUCUGAUAGUAAAAGAUCCUUGACUGAGGAGUGAAAGUAAAAGUU